Molecule: long non-coding RNA, 646 nt
Filed under: Chloebia gouldiae (Gouldian finch)
Lineage: Eukaryota; Metazoa; Chordata; Aves; Passeriformes; Passeridae
Description: Erythrura gouldiae (Gouldian finch) lncRNA (ENSEGOG00005012717.1)
Source: RNAcentral
AGAGGGGAGUACCCAGCCCUGGUGGUGUGGGGCUAGUGGGGGCAGGAAGAUAGAUUGGGGGUGCCGUGGGGUGCAUGAGGUGGGAACUGGCCUGGUCCAUGACACGUCACCCCCAGCACCCACCUGGCCAAGGUGUAGGGCUGAGACCAACCAGGACAGAAGCACCACACACCAAAAGCAAUUAAAUGCUCAAGGGGUCACAGACCAGCCCCGGAGCUCUCUCCCAUCCAGAGGUCAGAGGAGAGUGUCCUCAUUUGCUGCCUCUUAAAUACAUCUGAUCCUGCCUUAAUUCCUUCUAAAACCUUCCCUGAGAGCUUUCAGGUGGCUGCAGGGGAGAGGUGCCCAUGAGCUGGGGUGGCAGGCCAGCCAGGCAGGGGUGACAGCCCGGGGCUGAGCAGUGCCUCCAGAGGGAUGUGAAGGGCUGUGGGUGCUGGUGGUGAUGGAGGAAGCGCCAUGUGCACCACCAUCCUGAUCCUGGGUCCACUGGUCCUCCUGCUGCGGCGCCGCUUCUGCAACAAAGUCGAACCGCACUCGGAGGGAGAGGAGGAGAUCAGGAGAGAGGCUGGCUCUGACCCUCACGGCUCGUAGCAGCGCUCUGGAGCACAGGCCAGCUCCCCUGCGCUCUGCAGCCAGCACCGAGCACAUC